RNAcentral lists this ribosomal RNA (2927 nucleotides) under Salmonella enterica. Its description in RNAcentral is "23S ribosomal RNA". It matches the Rfam family "Bacterial large subunit ribosomal RNA". The record is from RNAcentral. Lineage: Bacteria; Pseudomonadati; Pseudomonadota; Gammaproteobacteria; Enterobacterales; Enterobacteriaceae.
GGGUUGUGAGGUUAAGCGACUAAGCGUACACGGUGGAUGCCCUGGCAGUCAGAGGCGAUGAAGGGCGUGCUAAUCUGCGAUAAGCGCCGGUAAGGUGAUAUGAACCGUUAUAACCGGCGAUACCCGAAUGGGGAAACCCAGUGUGAUUCGUCACACUAUCAUUAACUGAAUCCAUAGGUUAAUGAGGCGAACCGGGGGAACUGAAACAUCUAAGUACCCCGAGGAAAAGAAAUCAACCGAGAUUCCCCCAGUAGCGGCGAGCGAACGGGGAGGAGCCCAGAGCCUGAAUCAGCAUGUGUGUUAGUGGAAGCGUCUGGAAAGGCGCGCGAUACAGGGUGACAGCCCCGUACACAAAAGCGCAUGUGCUGUGAGCUCGAUGAGUAGGGCGGGACACGUGGUAUCCUGUCUGAAUAUGGGGGGACCAUCCUCCAAGGCUAAAUACUCCUGACUGACCGAUAGUGAACCAGUACCGUGAGGGAAAGGCGAAAAGAACCCCGGCGAGGGGAGUGAAAAAGAACCUGAAACCGUGUACGUACAAGCAGUGGGAGCACAGGUUUACCUGUGUGACUGCGUACCUUUUGUAUAAUGGGUCAGCGACUUAUAUUCUGUAGCAAGGUUAACCGAAUAGGGGAGCCGGAGGGAAACCGAGUCUUAAUUGGGCGUUAAGUUGCAGGGUAUAGACCCGAAACCCGGUGAUCUAGCCAUGGGCAGGUUGAAGGUUGGGUAACACUAACUGGAGGACCGAACCGACUAAUGUUGAAAAAUUAGCGGAUGACCUGUGGCUGGGGGUGAAAGGCCAAUCAAACCGGGAGAUAGCUGGUUCUCCCCGAAAGCUAUUUAGGUAGCGCCUCGUGAAUUCAUCUCCGGGGGUAGAGCACUGUUUCGGCUAGGGGGCCAUCCCGGCUUACCAACCCGAUGCAAACUGCGAAUACCGGAGAAUGUUAUCACGGGAGACACACGGCGGGUGCUAACGUCCGUCGUGAAGAGGGAAACAACCCAGACCGCCAGCUAAGGUCCCAAAGUCAUGGUUAAGUGGGAAACGAUGUGGGAAGGCCCAGACAGCCAGGAUGUUGGCUUAGAAGCAGCCAUCAUUUAAAGAAAGCGUAAUAGCUCACUGGUCGAGUCGGCCUGCGCGGAAGAUGUAACGGGGCUAAACCAUGCACCGAAGCUGCGGCAGCGACACUGUGUGUUGUUGGGUAGGGGAGCGUUCUGUAAGCCUGUGAAGGUGUGUCGUGAGGCAUGCUGGAGGUAUCAGAAGUGCGAAUGCUGACAUAAGUAACGAUAAAGCGGGUGAAAAGCCCGCUCGCCGGAAGACCAAGGGUUCCUGUCCAACGUUAAUCGGGGCAGGGUGAGUCGACCCCUAAGGCGAGGCCGAAAGGCGUAGUCGAUGGGAAACGGGUUAAUAUUCCCGUACUUGGUGUUACUGCGAAGGGGGGACGGAGAAGGCUAUGUUGGCCGGGCGACGGUUGUCCCGGUUUAAGCGUGUAGGUGUGUGUUCCAGGUAAAUCCGGUUCACUUUAACACUGAGGCGUGACGACGAGGCACUACGGUGCUGAAGCAACAAAUGCCCUGCUUCCAGGAAAAGCCUCUAAGCAUCAGGUAACAUCAAAUCGUACCCCAAACCGACACAGGUGGUCAGGUAGAGAAUACCAAGGCGCUUGAGAGAACUCGGGUGAAGGAACUAGGCAAAAUGGUGCCGUAACUUCGGGAGAAGGCACGCUGACACGUAGGUGAAGUGAUUUACUCAUGGAGCUGAAGUCAGUCGAAGAUACCAGCUGGCUGCAACUGUUUAUUAAAAACACAGCACUGUGCAAACACGAAAGUGGACGUAUACGGUGUGACGCCUGCCCGGUGCCGGAAGGUUAAUUGAUGGGGUCAGCGCAAGCGAAGCUCCUGAUCGAAGCCCCGGUAAACGGCGGCCGUAACUAUAACGGUCCUAAGGUAGCGAAAUUCCUUGUCGGGUAAGUUCCGACCUGCACGAAUGGCGUAAUGAUGGCGGGCUGUCUCCACCCGAGACUCAGUGAAAUUGAACUCGCUGUGAAGAUGCAGUGUACCCGCGGCAAGACGGAAAGACCCCGUGAACCUUUACUAUAGCUUGACACUGAACAUUGAGCCUUGAUGUGUAGGAUAGGUGGGAGGCUUUGAAGUGUGGACGCCAGUCUGCAUGGAGCCGACCUUGAAAUACCACCCUUUAAUGUUUGAUGUUCUAACGUGGACCCGUUACCCGGGUUGCGGACAGUGUCUGGUGGGUAGUUUGACUGGGGCGGUCUCCUCCUAAAGAGUAACGGAGGAGCACGAAGGUUGGCUAAUCCUGGUCGGACAUCAGGAGGUUAGUGCAAUGGCAUAAGCCAGCUUGACUGCGAGCGUGACGGCGCGAGCAGGUGCGAAAGCAGGUCAUAGUGAUCCGGUGGUUCUGAAUGGAAGGGCCAUCGCUCAACGGAUAAAAGGUACUCCGGGGAUAACAGGCUGAUACCGCCCAAGAGUUCAUAUCGACGGCGGUGUUUGGCACCUCGAUGUCGGCUCAUCACAUCCUGGGGCUGAAGUAGGUCCCAAGGGUAUGGCUGUUCGCCAUUUAAAGUGGUACGCGAGCUGGGUUUAGAACGUCGUGAGACAGUUCGGUCCCUAUCUGCCGUGGGCGCUGGAGAACUGAGGGGGGCUGCUCCUAGUACGAGAGGACCGGAGUGGACGCAUCACUGGUGUUCGGGUUGUCAUGCCAAUGGCACUGCCCGGUAGCUAAAUGCGGAAGAGAUAAGUGCUGAAAGCAUCUAAGCACGAAACUUGCCCCGAGAUGAGUUCUCCCUGAGACUUAGAGUCUCCUGAAGGAACGUUGAAGACGACGACGUUGAUAGGCCGGGUGUGUAAGCGCAGCGAUGCGUUGAGCUAACCGGUACUAAUGAACCGUGAGGCUUAACCUUACAACGCCGAAG